RNAcentral lists this long non-coding RNA (210 nucleotides) under Lathyrus oleraceus (garden pea). Its description in RNAcentral is "Pisum sativum (pea) long non-coding RNA (PSAT_LNC005430)". Lineage: Eukaryota; Viridiplantae; Streptophyta; Magnoliopsida; Fabales; Fabaceae. The record is from RNAcentral.
UGCUUAGCAUAACUUUUAAGUAUUCAAGAGGUUGGUUUCGUUUCAGAGUUGCUAUUUCUUCUGAAGAAAAACCCCUAGUGCUUCUUGUCGAAACUUUGCCUUCAGGAAUAACCAGAACUGUUGGAGUAGCAAGAGUUUGACUCUGAUUCUGUCCUUCGAUUGUGUCCUGGUUCCCCUCACCAUUGUUGUCCUCUUCUUCAAAGUCACCAU